RNAcentral lists this ribosomal RNA (253 nucleotides) under uncultured bacterium. RNAcentral's name for it is "partial 16S ribosomal RNA". It matches the Rfam family "Bacterial small subunit ribosomal RNA", at positions 524 to 776 of the family's 1533-position model. The record is from RNAcentral.
UACAGAGGGGGCAAGCGUUGUUCGGAAUUACUGGGCGUAAAGGGCGCGUAGGCGGCCUGCUAAGUCGAACGUGAAAUCCCUGGGCUCAACCCAGGAACUGCGUCCGAUACUGGUUGGCUUGAAUCCGGGAGAGGGACGUGGAAUUCCAGGCGUAGCGGUGAAAUGCGUAGAUAUCUGGAGGAACACCGGUGGCGAAGGCGACGUCCUGGACCGGUAUUGACGCUGAGGCGCGAAAGCCAGGGGAGCAAACGGG